RNAcentral lists this transfer RNA (69 nucleotides) under Lymantria dispar (gypsy moth). RNAcentral describes it as "tRNA-Asp". The record is from RNAcentral. RNAcentral also lists the same sequence under 5 other names. Lineage: Eukaryota; Metazoa; Arthropoda; Insecta; Lepidoptera; Erebidae.
AAAGAAUUAGUUAAAAAAUAACAUAAAUAUGUCAAAUUUAAAUCAUUAUUAUAAAUAUAAUAUUCUUUU